GAGGUGGGAGGAUCACUUGAGCCCCGGUGUUGAAGGCUGCAGUGAACUGUGAUUGUGCCACUGCACUCCAGCCUGAGUGACAGAGUGAGACCUUGUCUCA
Molecule: microRNA precursor, 100 nt
Filed under: Carlito syrichta (Philippine tarsier)
Lineage: Eukaryota; Metazoa; Chordata; Mammalia; Primates; Tarsiidae
Description: miRNA (ENSTSYG00000029417.1)
Source: RNAcentral